Molecule: ribosomal RNA, 254 nt
Filed under: uncultured bacterium
Lineage: Bacteria
Description: partial 16S ribosomal RNA
Rfam family: Bacterial small subunit ribosomal RNA
Source: RNAcentral
UACGGGGGGAGCAAGCGUUGUUCGGAUUUACUGGGCGUAAAGGGCGCGUAGGCGGUCAGCACAAGUCAGUUGUGAAAUCUCCGAGCUUAACUCGGAAAGGUCAACUGAUACUGUCGUGCUAGAGUACAGAAGGGGCAACUGGAAUUCUCGGUGUAGCGGUGAAAUGCGUAGAUAUCGAGAGGAACACCUGCGGCGAAGGCGGGUUGCUGGGCUGAUACUGACGCUGAGGCGCGAAAGCUAGGGGAGCGAACGGG